RNAcentral lists this ribosomal RNA (649 nucleotides) under Pomacanthus arcuatus (gray angelfish). RNAcentral's name for it is "partial small subunit ribosomal RNA". It matches the Rfam family "Bacterial small subunit ribosomal RNA", at positions 547 to 1504 of the family's 1533-position model. The record is from RNAcentral. Lineage: Eukaryota; Metazoa; Chordata; Actinopteri; Pomacanthidae.
AACAUCGGCGUAAAGCGUGGUUAAGAUGAUUAGAACACUAAAGCCGAACGCCUUCUACACUGUUAUACGUCUUCCGAAGGUAAGAAGCCCAAUCACGAAAGUAGCUUUAACUAUGUCUGAACCCACGAAAGCUAGGGCACAAACUGGGAUUAGAUACCCCACUAUGCCUAGCCGUAAACAUAGACAGUUCACGUACCCUACUGUCCGCCCGGGAACUACGAGCAUUAGCUUAAAACCCAAAGGACUUGGCGGUGCUUUAUACCCACCUAGAGGAGCCUGUCCUAGAACCGAUAAUCCCCGUUCAACCUCACCCUUCCUUGUUCUUUCCGCCUAUAUACCGCCGUCGUCAGCUUACCCUGUGAAGGCCUUAUAGUAAGCAAAAUCGGCACAGCCCAAAACGUCAGGUCGAGGUGUAGCGUAUGGAAGGGGAAGAGAUGGGCUACAUUCCCUAACUACUAGGGCAUACGAAUGAUCGUGCUGAAACGCAUAUCUGAAGGAGGAUUUAGCAGUAAGCAGGAAGUAGAGUGUCCCGCUGAAGCCGGCUCUGAAGCGCGUACACACCGCCCGUCACCCUCCCCAAGUCGACACAUUAAAAUAAUUAAUACACCACAACUGCAAAGGGGAGGCAAGUCGUAACAUGGGUAAAGUG